This 429-nucleotide ribosomal RNA is filed under the name Chloroflexota bacterium. Its description in RNAcentral is "Chloroflexi bacterium partial 16S ribosomal RNA". It matches the Rfam family "Bacterial small subunit ribosomal RNA", at positions 355 to 776 of the family's 1533-position model. The record is from RNAcentral. Lineage: Bacteria; Bacillati; Chloroflexota.
UGGGGAAUAUUGCACAAUGGGCGCAAGCCUGAUGCAGCCAUGCCGCGUGUAUGAAGAAGGCCUUCGGGUUGUAAAGUACUUUCAGCGGGGAGGAAGGGAGUAAAGUUAAUACCUUUGCUCAUUGACGUUAUCCGCAGAAGAAGCACCGGCUAACUCCGUGCCAGCAGCCGCGGUAAUACGGAGGGUGCAAGCGUUAAUCGGAAUUACUGGGCGUAAAGCGCACGCAGGCGGUUUGUUAAGUCAGAUGUGAAAUCCCCGGGCUCAACCUGGGAACUGCAUUCGAAACUGGCAGGCUAGAGUCUUGUAGAGGGGGGUAGAAUUCCAGGUGUAGCGGUGAAAUGCGUAGAGAUCUGGAGGAAUACCGGUGGCGAAGGCGGCCCCCUGGACAAAGACUGACGCUCAGGUGCGAAAGCGUGGGGAGCAAACAGG